GUUUUAAACCCUAAACUGAACUUUUUUCCAUUCAGUCAGCAUUAGGGUUUUAAACCCUAAACUGAACUCUUCCCUUUAGUCAGCGUUAGGGUUUUAAACCCUAAACUGAACUUCCCCUUUUAGUCAGCAUCAGGGUUUUUAAACCUUAAACUGAACUUUUCCCUUUAGUCAUCGUUAGGGUUUUAAACCCUAAAUUGAACUUUUCCUUUUAGUCAGCAGUAGGGUUUUUAAACCCUAAACUGAACUUUUUCCUUUAGUCAGCAUUAGGGUUUUUAAACCCUAAACUGAACUUCUGUCCAUUCAGUCAGCAUUAGGGCCCCAACCCUAAACUGAACUUUUCCCAGUUGGUCAGCAUUAGAGUUUCAACUCUAAACUGAGCUUCUCCCCAGCUAGUCGGCAUUAGGGCUCCAACCCUGAACUGAACUAUUUCCAUCCCGCCUGCCUUAGGGCUCUAACCCUAAACUGAGCAUUCAUAUCUUGAGGCCGUACAGUUGAUCCAAUCCCGUAAUUGGCAUUUUGGAAAUUGAAAUUUUCCAAUU
RNAcentral lists this long non-coding RNA (539 nucleotides) under Nicotiana tabacum (common tobacco). RNAcentral's name for it is "long non-coding RNA (NTAB_LNC016104)". Lineage: Eukaryota; Viridiplantae; Streptophyta; Magnoliopsida; Solanales; Solanaceae. The record is from RNAcentral.